CGUGGAGGAUGACACUUUUCGGAGCGUAAACUCCUUUUCUUAGGGAAGAAUUCUGACGGUACCUAAGGAAUAAGCACCGGCUAACUCCGUGCCAGCAGCCGCGGUAAUACGGAGGGUGCAAGCGUUACUCGGAAUCACUGGGCGUAAAGGGCGCGUAGGCGGAUUAUCAAGUCUCUUGUGAAAUCUAAUGGCUUAACCAUUAAACUGCUUGGGAAACUGAUAGUCUAGAGUGAGGGAGAGGCAGAUGGAAUUGGUGGUGUAGGGGUAAAAUCCGUAGAUAUCACCAAGAAUACCCAUUGCGAAGGCGAUCUGCUGGAACUCAACUGACGCUAAGGCGCGAAAGCGUGGGGAGCAAACAGGAUUAGAUACCCUGGUAGUCCACGCCCUAAACGAUGUACACUAGUUGUUGGGAUGCUAGUCAUCUCAGUAAUGCAGCUAACGCAUUAAGUGUACCGCCUGGGGAGUACGGUCGCAAGAUUAAAACUCAAAGGAAUAGACGGGGACCCGCACAAGCGGUGGAGCAUGUGGUUUAAUUCGAAGAUACGCGAAGAACCUUACCUGGGCUUGAUAUCCUAAGAACCUUAUAGAGAUAUGAGGGUGCUAGCUUGCUAGAACUUAGAGACAGGUGCUGCACGGCUGUCGUCAGCUCGUGUCGUGAGAUGUUGGGUUAAGUCCCGCAACGAGCGCAACCCACGUAUUUAGUUGCUAACGGUUCGGCCGAGCACUCUAAAUAGACUGCCUUCGUAAGGAGGAGGAAGGUGUGGACGACGUCAAGUCAUCAUGGCCCUUAUGCCCAGGGCGACACACGUGCUACAAUGGCAUAUACAAUGAGACGCAAUACCGCGAGGUGGAGCAAAUCUAUAAAAUAUGUCCCAGUUCGGAUUGUUCUCUGCAACUCGAGAGCAUGAAGCCGGAAUCGCUAGUAAUCGUAGAUCAGCCAUGCUACGGUGAAUACGUUCCCGGGUCUUGUACUCACCGCCCGUCACACCAUGGGAGUUGAUUUCACUCGAAGCCGGAAUACUAAACUAGUUACCGUCCACAGUGGAAUCAGCGACUGGGGUGAAGUCGUAACAAGGUAACCGUAGGAGAACCUGCGGUUGGAUCACCUCCUUUCUA
RNAcentral lists this ribosomal RNA (1116 nucleotides) under Campylobacter jejuni. RNAcentral describes it as "bacterial SSU rRNA". It matches the Rfam family "Bacterial small subunit ribosomal RNA", at positions 400 to 1533 of the family's 1533-position model. Lineage: Bacteria; Pseudomonadati; Campylobacterota; Epsilonproteobacteria; Campylobacterales; Campylobacteraceae. The record is from RNAcentral.